GACGAACGCUGGCGGCGUGCUUAACACAUGCAAGUCGAACGGAAAGGCCCUGCUUUUGUGUGGUGCUCGAGUGGCGAACGGGUGAGUAACACGUGAGUAACCUGCCCUUGACUUUGGGAUAACUUCAGGAAACUGGGGCUAAUACCGGAUAGGAGCUCCUGCUGCAUGGUGGGGGUCGGAAAGUUUCGGCGGUAGGGGAUGUACUCGCGGGUUAUCAGCUUGUUGGUCGGGUAGUGGCUUACCAAGGCUUUGACGGGUAGCCGGCCUGAGAGGGUGACCGGGCACAUUGGGACUGAGGGACGGCCCAGAGUCCAACAGGAGGCAGCAGUGGAGAAUAUUGCACAAUGGGCGGAAGCGUGAUGCAGCGACGCUGCGAGCGGGAUGACGGCCAUGGGGUUGUGAACCGCUUUAAGCUGUGACGAUGCGGGAGUGACGGUAAUGGGUAAAGAAGCACCGGCUAACUACGUG
This 468-nucleotide ribosomal RNA is filed under the name uncultured bacterium. RNAcentral describes it as "partial 16S ribosomal RNA". It matches the Rfam family "Bacterial small subunit ribosomal RNA", at positions 28 to 507 of the family's 1533-position model. The record is from RNAcentral.